Molecule: long non-coding RNA, 831 nt
Organism: Pseudophryne corroboree (corroboree frog)
Lineage: Eukaryota; Metazoa; Chordata; Amphibia; Anura; Myobatrachidae
Exons: 3
Source: RefSeq, a predicted model, not a curated record
UAACCCUCCCUCCCCACAACCUAAUCCUCCAUCCCCACAACCUAACCCUUCCUUCCCCACAACCUAACCCUUCCUUCCCCACAACCUAACCCUCCAUCCCCACAACCUAACCCUCCAUCCCCACAACCUAACCCUCCAUCCCCACAACCUAAUCCUCCAUCCCCACAACCUAACCCUCCAUCCCCACAACCUAACCCUCCCUCCCCACAACCUAACCCUUCCUUCCCGCAGUCUAACACUAACCUUCCCCCCAGCAGUCGCAUCCUAACACUAACCCUCCCUAUAGUGCCUAAACAUAUCCUCACCUCCUGCUGCUAAUUCUUGCCCUCCCCGGCAUACUAACGAUCGGGAUGCUGGCAGUCGGGAUUCUAGCUUUGGCACUGUGAUUGCAGUCAGAUCCUGGCGUCGGUCUUCUGACCAGUGUCAGUUUUCCGUCAGCCGGCAUCCCGAACGCCGGUAUUCUGUCUGGAUCCUAUAUAUAUAUGUCCUACACGGUUACGGUAAUAGUAUAUUCGGGAAGAGUGACCAGGAGUUUUUGGCAAUCGUAACCUUAAUGUGAUGGAACUGUCGAUCUGGAUAGGUCGUUUCCUUGAAAGGGAGAAGAGUUAACGUACAUAUAACGCCCAAACAAUCAGUAUUCCCACAGAUGCUAUGACAGGCAGUUCAAGGGAUAUUCUCUGUCACCUCCCGGAAGGCGGGACUCCGUCAACUCUCUCCUCACACUGACCUGACGAGCGCCGUCCUCCGUUCCCGCAGCCGCGGCUCGCUCUCCUCCGGCAUGGACGCCCACCACUCGGGUCUCAGUGUGCCACUGGGUCCCUCGGGCUGUAC